RNAcentral lists this ribosomal RNA (253 nucleotides) under uncultured bacterium. RNAcentral's name for it is "partial 16S ribosomal RNA". It matches the Rfam family "Bacterial small subunit ribosomal RNA", at positions 524 to 776 of the family's 1533-position model. The record is from RNAcentral.
GACAGAGGUCCCGAGCGUUAGGCGGAAUCACUGGGCUUAAAGCGUGUGUAGGCGGAUCCGUAAGUACCUUGUGAAAUCCCACGGCUUAACCGUGGAACUGCUCGGUAUACUGCGGAUCUUGAGCCACCUAGGGGCAACCGGAACAAACGGUGGAGCGGUGAAAUGCGUAGAUAUCGUUUGGAACGCCAAUGGUGAAAACAGGUUGCUGGGGGUGUGCUGACGCUGAGGCGCGAAAGCGUGGGGAGCGAACAGG